AUGAAGGCGCUCAUCCUCGUCGGGGGCUUCGGGACCCGCCUCCGGCCUCUCACGCUCAGCUUCCCCAAGCCCCUCGUCGAUUUCGCCAACAAGCCCAUGAUUCUGCACCAGAUUGAAGCCUUGAAAGAUGUUGGGGUUACAGAGGUUAUUUUAGCCAUCAACUACCGCCCAGAGGUCAUGAUUAAUUUCUUGAAGGAUUUUGAGGAUAAGCUUGGCAUCACAAUCACAUGCUCCCAGGAGACUGAACCCUUGGGAACUGCUGGUCCUCUUGCCCUGGCAAGGGACAAGCUUGUGGAUGGAUCUGGCGAGCCAUUCUUUGUCCUCAACAGUGAUGUCAUAAGUGAAUACCCAUUUGCUGAGCUCAUACAAUUUCACAAGAGCCAUGGCGGUGAGGCAACAAUUAUGGUCACUAAGGUGGAUGAACCUUCGAAAUAUGGUGUUGUGGUUACGGAGGACACAACUGGAGUUGUGGAAAGAUUUGUAGAGAAGCCAAAAAUAUUUGUAGGCAACAAGAUCAAUGCAGGAAUUUACCUGUUAAAUCCAUCUGUCCUGGACCGCAUCGAAUUGAAGCCAACUUCAAUUGAGAAAGAGGUCUUUCCUCGAAUUGCGGCUGAUCAAAAGCUGUACGCCAUGGUCCUUCCAGGCUUUUGGAUGGAUAUUGGUCAGCCAAGGGACUACAUCACUGGCUUGCGUCUUUAUCUAGAUUCACUCAGGAAGAAGUCAGCUGCCAAGCUGGCUGCCGGAGCACAUGUUGUUGGGAACGUCCUGGUGCACGAGAGCGCCAAGAUUGGGGAGGGUUGCCUGAUUGGUCCUGAUGUUGCUAUUGGACCUGGAUGCGUCGUGGAAGAUGGUGUGAGGCUCUCCCGAUGCACGGUGAUGCGUGGUGUACGCAUUAAGAAGCAUGCGUGCAUCUCAAACAGCAUUAUUGGCUGGCAUUCAACGGUCGGACAAUGGGCACGCAUAGAGAACAUGACUAUCCUGGGAGAAGACGUACAUGUAGGUGACGAGGUCUACAGCAAUGGCGGUGUUGUUCUCCCGCACAAGGAGAUCAAGUCAAGCAUCCUGAAGCCUGAGAUCGUCAUGUGA
RNAcentral lists this ribosomal RNA (1086 nucleotides) under Triticum aestivum (bread wheat). Its description in RNAcentral is "partial small subunit ribosomal RNA". Lineage: Eukaryota; Viridiplantae; Streptophyta; Magnoliopsida; Poales; Poaceae. The record is from RNAcentral.